GCGCUGAUAGUCUAGUCUGGUUAGGACCCCAGCCUUCCAAGCUGGUUACCUGGGUUCAAAUCCCGGUCGGCGCA
This 74-nucleotide transfer RNA is filed under the name Candidatus Heimdallarchaeota archaeon. Its description in RNAcentral is "tRNA-Gly". It matches the Rfam family "tRNA". Rfam says of the family: Transfer RNA (tRNA) molecules are approximately 80 nucleotides in length. Their secondary structure includes four short double-helical elements and three loops (D, anti-codon, and T loops). Further hydrogen bonds mediate the characteristic L-shaped molecular structure. tRNAs have two regions of fundamental functional importance: the anti-codon, which is responsible for specific mRNA codon recognition, and the 3' end, to which the tRNAs corresponding amino acid is attached (by aminoacyl-tRNA synthetases). tRNAs cope with the degeneracy of the genetic code in two manners: having more than one tRNA (with a specific anti-codon) for a particular amino acid; and 'wobble' base-pairing, i.e. permitting non-standard base-pairing at the 3rd anti-codon position. Lineage: Archaea; Promethearchaeati; Candidatus Heimdallarchaeota. RNAcentral also lists the same sequence under 1 other name. The record is from RNAcentral.